CUCGGGCCCUUGCAGCACGCUUGUGGUGAGGUCAUGGGCAUGGUCAGUGCUGGACUUGGCAGCGCUGGAUUAACACUUGGACUCGCUGAUCUUGAAGGUCUGUUCCAAACUAGACGGUUUUGUGAUAGGACUGCUUAAUUAAAUAAAUGAUGCCAGAAAAUUGCUGAGUGCCUCUCUUCACACACUCCCCCCACACACACAACCACACACCUCUGUAUUCAGGAUAUGAUGCACUAGCUUGUGGGGUGUUUUGUGUGAGAUACUUCUCUGCAAGACUGUGGGAAUGAAGGAGGAAGUAAACCCUAAGAUACAUACAAAUUAGCAUAAAUCAAAAAGAAGUUAAAACCUGUUGUUUUUAAAUGAAAUGCGACCCCUUGUCUAUGGGUGAUGAAAAAGUAGAUGAAUGUUUAAGUUCCAGGUAUCAUGCCAACUGCAACUCAAAAAAGAAAGCAAUCCAAAAGUUUGUGUGUAGCUCUAGCUUUCAAGUUGACCCUAAGAAAUGGUAUGAAACUGUCAGGGGAGGUUUAGGUUGGAUAUUAGAGAAAAUUUCUUCACCCAGAGGGUGGUUGGGCAUUGGAACAGGGUUCCCAGGGAAGUUGUCACAGCAAAAGACUGACAGAGCUCAAGAAGCAUUUGGAUAAGGCUCUCAGGCAUGUGCUGUGGUUCUUGGGGCUGUCCCGUGCAGGGUCAGGAGCUGAACUUGAUGAUCCUUGUGGGUCCCUUUCAAUUCAGGAUAUUCUAUAACUUUAAAUUUGCAGUCAUCCUUACUUGAAUUCUGUGUGUAUAUGUAAAAACGCUGCUGCUUUUUUUUUUUUUCUUUUCCUUUUUCACGCAUGGAUUGUGUAGGUUUGGAUAAGCUGAUAGUGUGACAGUCUUUUCUGUCUUACUUCCUGGAUAUGCUAACUCGAUUGUUUCCAAUGGUAAUGAUAUUCUCUGAUUAUUAGGAUUUCCAAGUAGGUACUCAUCACACUUCAUCUCUAAUAUUUUAUUUUAUUUUUCAGUUGUAGUAGUGGAAAUAUUGAAGCUGCUAAAUAUGUACAGUUCAUUAAGAAAUAAGGUUUCCUCCCCCAUGAAUUCUGGAGUUUAGGAAAACUGAUACAGAUGGGUUUCUGGUCUAUGUCUGUGCUUUCCAGGGAGUAUUGUAACAUAAAUAGAAGGGUAUAAACAUCUGAUACAUAAGAAUAUUCCUGUGUCUCAUAGUAUUCCUCUAUCUUGCCAUGUCAGUGCUGUCACUACAGAAAAAAGAAUAAUCAGCACAUUUGAAACAGAGACUUGUUGAAUCUAAACAAAGUCUCAUCUCACAAUUGGAUUUCACUUUUGGACUUAGCUUCUUCAAAAGACCUCAUAAUUUGCCAGCCUUUCUAGCAUAGUUUUGUAAGCAAGGCAAUUACUGUUGUUUAAACUUAGUUUGCUGCCUAAGGAAUGUAAAAUAUCUAUUAAAAUAGUAAAGGAAUUUACAACACAAGUGGUGCACCAGGGAAGCAAGAUGAAAGUUCAGGGAAGCAGGAUAAAAAGAUUGCCCCUUUAUCAGGGCUGGUCUUUGUUUUAUGUAAAGUCUGUAAAAUACUAAACACAUUGUGGAAUACAAACCAAAGCAGUAAACACUCUUAAGAGUAUCAAGUAAAUAUGUUACUUCCUGAGCAGUAGCUGUAGUUAAUUUUCAAACAAUUAUCAUCCAUGUAAAAAAUGUGUGGGUGUGUGCCGAUGUCUGCCACUGCCCUCUUACGCAUGAAGUGUUUGACUCAGCCUGGAAUACUCUGGUGCAGCACUGAGAGGAACAGAAUUGCUGAUACACUGAAGAAUUUAUUCUUUCUUGCUACCAACUGUAAGCAGGGAAUUGCACUCUUCAGACAUCUUUACAUGAGGAGGCCUCAUUUCUUGAAAUUGUCCCAUCCUUAUGCACAGUUCAUUAGUUUCUUACACAACUUUUACUGAGUACAUGAUGAAAAGGGCAGAAAUCUCUUAAAAACACAGAUCUGAAAGAUGAGGCCCUCCAGUUACUCAAUCACCUAGAUUUCUACAAUUAUAAUGUCUAAUAAUAUUUGUUUGCAUUUUACACAUUUUUGGUGUAAUGAAUUGUACUUUUGUCACUGGGUUUCAGGCACUUUUUUUUUCCUCCAGAGUAUGUUGUUUCUUGUCACCUGGAAGCUGUUGAGUAAAGGAAGAAGCAAAGGACAAUAGGAAGAACAGCAAGAGACAAUGUCAGUAGCAGAAAGAACUGGCAUGGAGAACAUGAAGGCACAGUUACCUCAUACAUGGAAGACUUGGCAACUUGUGGCAAAAAAGACUGGAAAGAUUAGAGAAGUUUCCCCAGUGACUAUUAGUGAGUGCCUGGAAGAGUUUUUUAAUCAGUCCUGAUACACAUUCACAUACCCAGCCAUCAAGAUUGAGGUUAGUGCAUUAUAGCUGCUCUGGGAACCUUAACUCACUUGCAUUGACUUUAGGAGGUUUAAGUCAGAAGCAAUACUAUUUUAAUGCCAUUUUUUGUAUUUACUUGGCAAAUACCCUUGUCAAUUUAAAGUGUCCCAUGGGAGGUGUCAAGAGGUCAUUGAAAUUCUCCUGGGCAAAGGAGGGAGUGGCUGAAACCAUGGCCUCCAUGCUGCCUCCUUCAGUACUUUUCUUCAUGUCAGUGCUGUACUCGGUACUUUCCCCCCUGCUUCCAUUGGAAGAGGGAGUGAGCAAAUGUAAAAAUGUUAGUGAGAAAUGGAGACAAAAAACAUAGAAAAGGCCUCCCUGCUGUUUUAUUUGGCUACUUCUAGGCCUCAGUAACAGUAAACUUAGCCACAGAAAAUUAGUAUAGAAUAUAUUGUCUAGUAUGCACAAGAACUCCCAGAUGCUUUCAGUGCAUUUUUUUCCCCAGUUCAUUCUAUUAUUCUACAGUCUUCUGGCCAAAGAUCACAAAGCCUUCUGACCUCUCUGUUAUCCUAUGGCAAGAAAAUACAGUUCCCUAAGGCUGCAAAAGCAUCAAGAUUUCCAGAAAUGAGGUACCUGCAAUUUCCAUGACCAUCAGCGUAGCUGUGAGCAGCAUAUUCUUCAGAUACCACUAAGAACGGUAAAAUGCAGAAUGGGGGGAUAGGGGACACCCCACAUCUUACAGACUUGCCAGUGUUCUGAAUCUCAGCUGAAAAUACCUGUGUUGAAGUGUCAUAGAUAGCUUUAUUAAAGCUAGUAACUCUAGAAACUGAUCUGACCUGUGUCUUACCUUGGAUUAUUGUGAUCCUCUGAAAACCCCCUAUGGUUUAUUGUGUGAUAAGCCAUGAAAUUACACAAUUAGUAAAUUAUUUCAGUUACACAUUUCUCACCUUUUUAACUGCUGUAAGGUAGAAUAAAACAUUUGUGGGGAUUUUGCCAGCAAGUGAAAACAAAAAUAGUGCUAAGUAAAUACAUUACAACUUGAUUAAUGCAAGAUAAACACUAUAGGCUACACAGCUUUAGCUCCUCAGCAGGCCUAUUUCACAUUGUAUGUUCAUACAUAAAUUUCUUUUACUAACACUGCACAAGCAGUCUGGCACCAUCCUUGACAGAUGAGCUUUAGGAACUGUUACAAAGUGGUUUAAGUUAUAGCUCCAUCUGUUAUAUCCCAUCCUUCUGAUGGAGAUUGUGUUCACUGUGGCAGAAUGAGCAGAAUGGAAGAAGUGUUCAUAUCCUCACCAACUGCAGCUCCGAGUCUGGUGCCUUGGCUCACACCCAUCUUCUCAGCAGUUUCAUCAAUGACGCUCUGCUUCGUGCCCAGCUAUGAGGGUGGGCGAACAUUUCCUUCUGCUGGGCCUGAUAAUCAUCAGCAGAGGGAAAGAACAGACUAUGCUGAACUGGAGAAGCUUAACAAAUCACAGUGGGAUCUGACUCAAGCUUUCUUUAAUUUUACUGGGAGGAAGGAGGCCUUAUACAGCACUCAUCCACACUUCACUAUUGUUAUGUACAGUGAGAUACUGGGGGUUUGUGGUGGAAAGUCUGCCCAUUAUGGAUUUGAGCAAAAGAGUUACUAGAGUAUCACUGCUUGGUUAACAAAGGUUGUCGGCCAGGACUGAACUGUGUUUCCUUUUCCACCUGGCAGUGUUUGACCUCAUGGUCUGUGAAGUGAGAAUUUGCUGAAGUUUCUGGACAAAGAGGAUUGUCCAAUGUAGAGAAAGCAAUAGUGGUCGUCUGAGGAAAGGUGACAAAGCAGUAUUAAGUGAAUACAGUGAGUUAGGUUACUCAGGGCACUGUGAUCAUUAACUAAUGUACUAAAGGCCACAGUGGAACUGGAUACAGAGGUUAGUGUAAUCGAGAUUUUCCACAGCUGGAAAAAAGUGCUAUAUUACUAAGUUAAAUAUCACAUCAGAUAUUUUAGUGCUAUUGAAAUAAUUCUCAUAUAUGUAACAAUAAAUACAGGUUUACUAAAUAAGGCUUUAAACUACUGACUAUUAAAAAAGUAUACUCAUAUUUCUAAUAAUUAAAAGACAUAAAAGUAUGCCAAAUGUUAUGUCCAAAUAUAUGCUUUUGAGCUCAACUGCCAUAGACUUAAUCUUUUAGGUUCCUCUUACAAUGUUUAAAGAAGAGGAUUAAAAUACUCCAAAUGGCUCUGUAAGUUAUCAAAAUUAAGGUCAGUGGGAAAGGCUCAAUUCAAUGUGCUAUAAUUAUGGCAGAUUAUUGCAUUUUAUUUCUAUCUUUCAGACAUCUUUAUCAAGAAUUGUUACAGAUUCCCAGAAUAACAGAUUGGAAAAGACCUCUUGAGAUCAUAGACUCCAACCUUUUACUGAAUAUCACCAUGUCAGCUAGGCCAUGGCAGUAACUGUCAUGUCCAGUCUUCUCUUAAACACUUCCUUACAAAGAAAGAAACAGAAUUUAGAGGAAAUAUAACAGCAACAGCAGUUUAUAAAAAUCAGUUUUAAGGGGGGCUCAAGUCAGUAGAGCUCCACAAUAGACAGAACUGUGUCUCAUCAUUAAUGCACCUCAGGUUUUCUGUCCUUUCUCUAUCCACACCAAAUCAAUCCCUUCAGAAAAAGGCUACAUACCUUAGUUUUACAAAACUUCUCUGACAGCAUUCAGAAUAAUUGUAGCAGCAAUAAAACAAACAACAAUAAGAACAUUUGACUGCUGAUGGGGAAGGCAAUAGGAGGAAAUUAUGGCAUCCCUGAAGUAUUGCUUGAGAUUUAAAAUUUUUCAAGAGAGAUAGAACCACAGUCUUUUAGCCUACAAUUUGAAUUUAGGGAAGUUUUAUUCUACAUAAAGAACACAGCCAAAAUGCAUACUUCAUCCCUUCCCCUAGGGGAGACAUUACUGUCAGGACUGUGUGCAGGAUACAGCAAAAGUUAGGGAAUGUCAAAGACCCAAUUGGUUCUCUUCUCCUCAGAGCAUGUCUGUAUCAGCUCAAGCCACAGUCCUAUUUAAACCUGAACUGUAUUUUUUCCUGGCUGACUUCAGUCCCUAAGGGAACAUCCAUCAGCCAAGCAGAAGUGAAUCACGCAACGCCCCAGUCUCGCACUUGAUACAGCCAACCUCAGGGAUGACUUGGGAAAGAACUGUCACAGCCAUCCUGAAACUAAGCAAAUGCUGGAGUAUUCCCACUCUGCAACCUGCCCAUGGCUUUGGCUUGUGUUGUGCAGCUCAUUGAAAAAACUCUCCAAGUCUUUGGCUCUGUGAAUUCUCUAAACUGUAUUGUUAAAAGGAGAGUGAAUGGAAUUGGCAAAAUCCCAUCUUCAUUUAAAAAUGUCUUGGAAAUAAAAUCUUGAACACUGCACCACAUCAGAGAUGCUCAAGGCAAGCAAUUUAGGAGCAGCAGCUGAACUCAUACAUAUAAACACACACACACGCACAUAUAUAUAUACACACACACAUAUACGUAUAUAUAUGUGUCUCACAAGUAACUGCGAAUUAAUAUAUCUUUGUGGAAGCAGUUCAAUUAAGGCUUUAGUUGAUGAAGAAGUGUUUUCAAGACUCUUGCACAAGCCAACCAUUCUAAGUGCUACAAUUUGAAUUGAUGAACUCAUCAGCUCAGCUGGAAAACAUAUCAAUUUGAAAAUGCAUUUGAAGUGCAAAUUGCAUUAACACACAAAUUUAAUUUACAGGAAGCUCUUUAUGGAUUUUAAAACUACUACUUAAACUACACAAAUUGCUCCAUUUAAACUGCUAUGACAAAAAUGGCAAAAAAAUGUUUUAGGAAUGGUAACCAUUGAUUUCUAUUUCACGCUAAAUUUGAGUCUCCAUGGUUCAUGAAUGAACAAAUGGUAAAAUAAGACUUGAGAAAGCACACAGUUAUUUGAAAAAAAAACAUUUAAAAGGAUUAAAAAGUUAAAUUUCUAUAUUUGUCUUUGGUUUAUCACAGCUAAUAAAAUUAUGUAGAGUGCAGCCUUAUUUGAGCUUUGAUGUGGUACUUUUAGUGGAGACAGAAGUCAAAUCAGUAAUUUAGUCAGGGCAUGCUUCUACCCCAGCCUCUGGCAAAGGGGAAGAUUAUACUGAGCCCAAAUAUACAUUUCAAAUGUGCAAAAAGUGUUGUAUCUUAUUUAAAUUUGCAUCUAGUCACUUGGGGAAACUGGACAUACCCUGCCAUAAAGCUAUGAGAGCAUCCAAAGCAGGGCUACAAAGAUGGUGAAGGACUGUGAAGGGAAAUCAUAUGAGGAACAGCUCAGAGCACUUGGUCUGCUCAGCCUGGAGGAGACUGAAGGGAGACCUCACAGCAGUUACAGCUUCCUUGU
Zonotrichia albicollis (white-throated sparrow) is the source of this 6674-nucleotide non-coding RNA. The record is from RefSeq and is a predicted model, not a curated record. Lineage: Eukaryota; Metazoa; Chordata; Aves; Passeriformes; Passerellidae.